Acanthosepion pharaonis is the source of this 111-nucleotide non-coding RNA. NCBI's taxonomy places the organism in Eukaryota, Metazoa, Mollusca, Cephalopoda, Sepiida, Sepiidae. The record is from the annotation of a GenBank genome assembly.
CAGCCACAUCACGUUGAAUCACCGACUCCCGUACGAUCACCGAAGUUAAGCAACGCUUAUCCUGGCCAUUACCUAGAUGGAUGAACGCUUGGGAAUACCUGGUGCUGCAAG